AUCCAGCUGACGAGUCUCAAAUUGGACUGAACGCGCGUCCUGAAU
Non-coding RNA from Schistosoma mansoni, 45 nucleotides. Lineage: Eukaryota; Metazoa; Platyhelminthes; Trematoda; Strigeidida; Schistosomatidae. The record is from Rfam.